UCUUCCGAUCUCCCACAUAUGCGUUGUGGCUCCGAAUGGUGAUGUAGUUUCGGUAACCAGCAGUAUAAAUUAUAUAUUUGGAGCAAAAUUCAUGUCGGAAAGCACAGGUAUCAUCCUGAAUGAUUCAAUGGAUGAUUUCUCAAUCCCGGGCGAGUCUAAUGUAUUUGGUUUUCCAUCUUCCCCUACAAAUUACAUAGAACCUGGUAAACGACCAAUGUCAUCCAUGUGUCCUUCAAUCAUAUUAAAUAACGGCUACGUAUAUAUGGUUAUUGGUGGAGCAGGUGGUAGCAAAAUUAUAUCCAAUGUCCUUCAGGUUAUCAUCAAUCGCCUAUAUUACCGUUAUAAUUUGGAAGAUGCGACAGAUGAGGAGAGGAUCCACCACCAGCUCUUUCCGAUGAGUCUACAACUAGAAAACAUGUUUCUAAGAACCAAACCAGAUAUUGUUGAUGGUUUUCAAGAAAUAGGUCACGAAUUAACGUUCUCAAAACCGGAUGGAUUUGCAGCAGUAACUUCCAUCUGCAGAGAUGAUUAUGGACGACUUGAAGGUGUGACAGACAAAAGCAGAGGCGGAUCAGUAGCUUAUUUAUAUUGAA
This is a long non-coding RNA of Leptinotarsa decemlineata (Colorado potato beetle), 593 nucleotides long. The record is from RefSeq and is a predicted model, not a curated record. NCBI's taxonomy places the organism in Eukaryota, Metazoa, Arthropoda, Insecta, Coleoptera, Chrysomelidae.